UGGGGGAUAUUGCACAAUGGGGGGAACCCUGAUGCAGCGACGCCGCGUGGGUGAAGAAGCGCCUCGGCGCGUAAAGCCCUGUCGGCAGGGAAGAAAAUGACGGUACCUGAAGAAGAAGCCCCGGCUAACUACGUGCC
RNAcentral lists this ribosomal RNA (137 nucleotides) under uncultured bacterium. Its description in RNAcentral is "partial 16S ribosomal RNA". It matches the Rfam family "Bacterial small subunit ribosomal RNA", at positions 355 to 509 of the family's 1533-position model. The record is from RNAcentral.